Molecule: ribosomal RNA, 553 nt
Filed under: uncultured Pelagibacterales bacterium
Lineage: Bacteria; Pseudomonadati; Pseudomonadota; Alphaproteobacteria; Candidatus Pelagibacterales
Description: bacterial SSU rRNA
Rfam family: Bacterial small subunit ribosomal RNA
Source: RNAcentral
ACUUAGUGGCAGACGGGUGAGUAACAUGUGGGUAUCUACCCUUUGGCCUGGAAUAACACGAGGAAACUCGUGCUAAUACCGGAUAAGUCUUUACGGAGAAAGCUUUAUGCACCAUUGGAUGAGCCCGCACUUGAUUAGUUUGUUGGUAGGGUAAUGGCCUACCAAGACUAUGAUCAAUAGCUGAUUUGAGAGGAUGAUCAGCCACAUUGGGACUGAGACACGGCCCAAACUCCUACGGGAGGCAGCAGUGGGGAAUCUUGCACAAUGGAGGAAACUCUGAUGCAGCGAUGCCGCGUGAGUGAAGAAGGCCUUUGGGUUGUAAAGCUCUUUCGUCGGGGAAGAAAAUGACUGUACCCGAAUAAGAAGGUCCGGCUAACUUCGUGCCAGCAGCCGCGGUAAUACGAAGGGACCUAGCGUAGUUCGGAAUUACUGGGCUUAAAGAGUUCGUAGGUGGUUGAAAAAGUUGGUGGUGAAAUCCCAGAGCUUAACUCUGGAACUGCCAUCAAAACUUUUCAGCUAGAGUAUGAUAGAGGAAAGCAGAAUUUCUAGUGUA